GGGACGCGAUGGCUGGCUAUUGCACCAUGUAUAACAAGGAUUCUGGAGCAGUAUGAUGAGCUGAAACUCCAUUUUGAGAUAUCCAAAGAUGAGGAGGAGAAGAACUACACUGCCGAUUUGUUGUACCAGAUGUACUCAGAUCCUGCCAACAAGUUGUACUUGGCUUUUCUGCAGCCUGUGGUGUCCCAGGUCAACCGGGUUAACAAAUUGUUUGAGUCAGACCGGUGCAAUGCCAACAGACUCCUGGAAGAUUUGAUGUCCCUCUACAAGUCCAUUCUCCAGCGACUCAUGAUGCCGCGAACUUUCUGCACGUGGAAAGCUGUGGCAGAUUAUGAUGUGAACGACGAACGGAACCAUCUGCCGCUGGAAGCUGUGGACUUCGGUGUGAAGUUCUACAUCGAACUGGGUCAGAGCAGGUUGGACAGCGGAAUUGUUCACACCGUUAAGAAGCACGGGCGUGACUUCCUGAUGAAGCUUCUUCAGGAGCUGCAGCAAAGGCUUCCAUCAAAUAUUAACCAUCUCCAGAGCUUGGAUGCCCUGACCCCAGAAACCGUUCUCGGAGUGAGGAAACCAAGACUGCAGGAGCUGUCUUUCUUACCAAAAUAUUCGGGGGAUAUUGGUAAGCUCGACGAGCAGUGGCAAAGACUUGCAACUGUCAGCUGGCCAAAAGAUGUGAUAAACGACUCCGAAAAGUUUUGGUUAACUGUUCACAGCCACCAGGACGCCUCAGGGGAGCGGGAUUUUAAGGAGGUAGGGCAGUUUGCUCUGUCCAUGCUUUCGCUGCCCAUUAGCAAUGCCUCUGUUGAACGGGUUUUUUCCCAAAUGAACUUGAUAAAGAAUAAACUUAGGAACAGGAUGCAACACAAGAGUCUAGAAAACACAUUACAUGUACGUGCAUUCAUGAAUAGAAACAACAUGUGUUGUAGGGAGUUCGACCCCACACAGGAAAUGCUGUCAAUGUUCACAAAGGACAUCUAUACCAAUGUUGAUGAGCAUGAGUAUGUUGAGGUGCCUGAUGUAUAAAUGUACUGAAAAUAAACAUAUAGCAUGUAUGUUAAUAUACUCUAGCAUGUAAAGUAUAAUUAGGUAGGCAUUAAUGUUAAUAAAGGUACAUAAUUUGUCAAAUAUUUUUUUUCCUGUUAUAAUAUAGCUAUACGUCUCAGUCGUCUUGAGCAUCAUACUACUGAUAAUUCUAAUUUUGGGCUGCUUUUGGGCUGUUUUUUGUGACCGAGGUCGCGGGUUUUGGGCGGGUUUUGGGAUGGAAUGGCGCGGGAUAUCAGUCCACGACCUGGCAACUCUGAUGUGCC
Molecule: RNA transcript, 1307 nt
Organism: Eriocheir sinensis (Chinese mitten crab)
Lineage: Eukaryota; Metazoa; Arthropoda; Malacostraca; Decapoda; Varunidae
Exons: 3
Source: RefSeq, a predicted model, not a curated record